CAGUCGCCGCGGUAACACGGAGGGUGCAAGCGUUAUCCGGAUUUAUUGGGUUUAAAGGGUCCGUAGGCGGACUUAUAAGUCAGUGGUGAAAGCCUGUCGCUUAACGAUAGAACUGCCAUUGAUACUGUAAGUCUUGAGUAUAUUUGAGGUAGCUGGAAUAAGUAGUGUAGCGGUGAAAUGCAUAGAUAUUACUUAGAACACCAAUUGCGAAGGCAGGUUACCAAGAUAUAACUGACGCUGAGGGACGAAAGCGUGGGUAGCGAACAGGAUUAGAUACCCCAGUAGUCCCUGUCUCUUAUAA
RNAcentral lists this ribosomal RNA (301 nucleotides) under uncultured bacterium. Its description in RNAcentral is "partial 16S ribosomal RNA". It matches the Rfam family "Bacterial small subunit ribosomal RNA", at positions 509 to 809 of the family's 1533-position model. The record is from RNAcentral.